This 464-nucleotide ribosomal RNA is filed under the name uncultured bacterium. RNAcentral describes it as "bacterial SSU rRNA". It matches the Rfam family "Bacterial small subunit ribosomal RNA", at positions 28 to 507 of the family's 1533-position model. The record is from RNAcentral.
GACGAACGCUGGCGGCGUGCCUAACACAUGCAAGUCGAGCGGAGACAGAGACUUCGGUUUCUGUUUUAGCGGCGGACGGGUGAGUAACGCGUGAGCAACCUUUCUCUUACUGGGGAAUAACACAGGGAAACUUGUACUAAUACCGCAUGAGACCACAGAGGGGCAUCCUUCAGGGGUCAAAGAUUUAUCGGUAAGAGGUGGGCUCGCGUCUGAUUAGAUAGUUGGUGGGGUAACGGCCUACCAAGUCGACGAUCAGUAGCCGACCUGAGAGGGUGAUCGGCCACAUUGGGACUGAGACACGGCCCAAACUCCUACGGGAGGCAGCAGUGGGGAAUAUUGGGCAAUGGGGGAAACCCUGACCCAGCAACGCCGCGUGGAGGAAGAAGGUUUUCGGAUCGUAAACUCCUGUCCUCAGGGAAGAGCAGAAGACGGUACCUGAGGAGGAAGCCCCGGCUAACUACGUG